GUUAAUUACAGAGUUCAACCAAUGGUACUAGAACAAAAAAAAUACUAAAAUGGAUAAAGUAUUACAUUGUACAUCAACCAUGUGUGUAAGGAUGAGUGACUGAUCCUCUCUAUUUUCUGUCUCCCAGAAGCUCUUCUGGUGAAAUAGGCCUACAUUCUAAUCUCUAUGUGGUAUCCCCUCUUCUAGAUACUGGAAUCCCUUCUCUAUGAAGAAUCGCUCUCUUCACACCUGUUUAGAUGCAUCAGUCUCUGCAACAUUAGGAAACCUGUUUACUUUCCUCAGCCUUUGUCCUCAGUUCCCCGGGAACUGUCUCCGUGGGAUUUCCUCCUGCAUGGAUGCAUGAUGACACAGCAAUCUAAGAAAUUUCAGUCUAUAAGAUGAUUCCAGAAGAAGAACAUCAACAGCCUCCCAAAGAAUGCAUAAUUACUUUUAAUUCCUUAGUUGAGGUCAUGGAAAUAAAAAUACAAGUUCAAGUGAGGUCACUAUCUCAAUUUCUUCACUCCAUUUGCCAAACUCACUGAAGAUCUUAUUUGGAUAGAGGUAAUGUAUAGGCAAGAUAAAACAACAGCAUAUACUACAAAAAUAAGCAAGCAAAACACCCAACCAUGUUAUCUCUUUGACUUUGCAAGAUUCUACUCUCAUAAUCCCUGCACUAUUUUUUUUAUAGACUAUAUUCUUUAAUGACAAUGUGAUAGAAUGUUCAAUUGAAUAAAAGGCAAACUAAAAAAAUUCCUGAUUGGGAA
This 743-nucleotide long non-coding RNA is filed under the name Oryctolagus cuniculus (rabbit). Its description in RNAcentral is "lncRNA (ENSOCUG00000034031.1)". Lineage: Eukaryota; Metazoa; Chordata; Mammalia; Lagomorpha; Leporidae. The record is from RNAcentral.